Molecule: ribosomal RNA, 253 nt
Filed under: uncultured bacterium
Lineage: Bacteria
Description: partial 16S ribosomal RNA
Rfam family: Bacterial small subunit ribosomal RNA
Source: RNAcentral
UACGGAGGGGGCUAGCGUUUUUCGGAAUUACUGGGCGUAAAGGGCGUGUAGGCGGAUCGGUCAGUCAGGCGUGAAAGCCCCGGGCUCAACCUGGGAAUAGCGCUUGAUACUACCGAUCUUGAGUCCGGGAGAGGGUAGUGGAAUUCCCAGUGUAGAGGUGAAAUUCGUAGAUAUUGGGAAGAACACCAGUGGCGAAGGCGGCUACCUGGACCGGUACUGACGCUGAGGCGCGAAAGCGUGGGGAGCAAACAGG